UGUUUGCUGGUGCUUGGUCUAAAGCAGCAAGCUCCCCUUCCGAUGCUGAAAGGCCACUGUGAGGUCACCUCAACUGGAGCUUGAUCUUCUGAGUGCAGAACUGAAUGAACCUCAGCUGCUGGAUUUGGGAGGCUGCAAGGAGCAAGCAUGGCUCUCUGACAGAACAAAUAAGAUGACAUUUUAGCAACAACUUUGAAGGAUUUGAGCUACUGGAGGGUGAAACAGUGACCUUAUUUUCUUGAUUAAGGAGAGCUGAGCAAUUGUACAGC
Molecule: long non-coding RNA, 269 nt
Filed under: Gallus gallus (chicken)
Lineage: Eukaryota; Metazoa; Chordata; Aves; Galliformes; Phasianidae
Source: RNAcentral